Molecule: ribosomal RNA, 981 nt
Filed under: Triticum aestivum (bread wheat)
Lineage: Eukaryota; Viridiplantae; Streptophyta; Magnoliopsida; Poales; Poaceae
Description: partial small subunit ribosomal RNA
Source: RNAcentral
AUGGAGGCGAGCAAGGGAGGCGACGGGAGCUCGGGCGCCUCGGCGAGCAACGAUGACAGCACGGUGGAGGAGGAGGGAGCGGGCCGUGAAGAGCAGGAGGACGCCUGCAGGGGGAACUCUUUGUCGUCGUCGUCGGUGCGCCCCUACGUCCGCUCCAAGAACCCGCGCCUCCGCUGGACGCCGGAGCUCCACCACUGCUUCGUCCGCGCCAUUCACAGGCUCGGCGGCCAAGACCGUGCAACUCCGAAGCUCGUUCUUCAGUUGAUGAACGUCAGAGGGCUUAGCAUAGGCCAUGUCAAGAGCCACCUCCAGAUGUAUAGGAGCAAGAAGAUCGAUGACUCAGGCCAGGUCAUAGGUCAUCUCCCCUUGCCCCAUGCCUUCCAUCAUCGCCAGAGUGGUGCGGGCACCAUGUUGUCAAGGUUUGGUGCUGCUGCAUGGCCUCCAUGGAGAAGCUUCCAUGAACCAUAUUGGGCCCAUGGUCGCCCCUUUCUUGCAACUGGAUCGAGGACCUACAACUCUUUAGAAGCUGAAGCCGAGGCGGCUUUCCUUCGGUCCCGAGCUCAACAUGUAGCUCGAGCUGCAUCUAGCAAUCCGGGACUGAUGAUGCAGUCAGGCUGUCCAUCUUGGAACGAUCAUCAUACCAUGAACCACCAGCAUAAACGAUUGCUGCAACCGACAGUGUGCAACGCUGAUGAUAUCCAUAUUUCUCUUGAUCUUGAUCUCGAUCUCUCGCUCGGUCUCCCCGUGCCGAGGAGGGAGGCGAAGCGGAAGAGAUCGGGCUGCGGCUGGGUGAAAGAAGGCCCUGAUGAGAAUGGAGCCGAUGAAGAACAAGUGGAUGAGACCAGCAGUGCCACUAUGCUAUCUCUGUCCUUGUUCUCUUCUGGGGAUGCUCCUCGGAAGAUGAGUAGCACUAGUGCUAGUGAUCGUGCAGUAGAUGAGCAUGCUACAAGGAGGGCAAGUACUCUUGAUCUCACCAUAUGA